RNAcentral lists this transfer RNA (71 nucleotides) under Loxodonta africana (African savanna elephant). It matches the Rfam family "tRNA". From Rfam's summary of the family: Transfer RNA (tRNA) molecules are approximately 80 nucleotides in length. The record is from Rfam by way of RNAcentral. Lineage: Eukaryota; Metazoa; Chordata; Mammalia; Proboscidea; Elephantidae.
GCAGUGGUGGCUCAGGGGUAGAGUUCUCGCUUUCCACGUGGGAGACCCGGGUUCGAUUCCUGGCCAGUGUA